This 222-nucleotide long non-coding RNA is filed under the name Elaeis guineensis (African oil palm). Its description in RNAcentral is "long non-coding RNA (EGUI_LNC037027)". Lineage: Eukaryota; Viridiplantae; Streptophyta; Magnoliopsida; Arecales; Arecaceae. The record is from RNAcentral.
GCUAGAGCCCCAUAGAGACAUUAAGGAGGAGCUUGUUCCUUAGAUCCAAGACUGUCCCCAGAGUCAGUGGGAGGGGAUGGUCAGGCAUUGGAGGAGCCAAGACUUUCAAAUGUAAUUUGUAACUUAUGAAUUUUUUGUUGUACUGAUAAUUAUAUUUGAUUUUAACUUAUAUGAUUUAAAUAUUUUUUAGACUGCAUCUCAUCAGAACUAGGAGAAUUGGGU